This 253-nucleotide ribosomal RNA is filed under the name uncultured bacterium. Its description in RNAcentral is "partial 16S ribosomal RNA". It matches the Rfam family "Bacterial small subunit ribosomal RNA", at positions 524 to 776 of the family's 1533-position model. The record is from RNAcentral.
UACGAAGGGUGCAAGCGUUAAUCGGAAUUACUGGGCGUAAAGCGCGCGUAGGUGGUUCAGUAAGUUGGAUGUGAAAUCCCCGGGCUCAACCUGGGAACUGCAUCCAAAACUGCUGAGCUAGAGUACGGUAGAGGGUGGUGGAAUUUCCUGUGUAGCGGUGAAAUGCGUAGAUAUAGGAAGGAACACCAGUGGCGAAGGCAACCACCUGGACUGAUACUGACACUGAGGUGCGAAAGCGUGGGGAGCAAACAGG